AUGCUGGAGGGAGGCGCUUGCUGCAAGAUUCCUUCUCCCGGUCCCGUAGACUGCGGAGUCCGCGGGACCGUUGAACGGAGUCUCUCCGGAGCCCAAGUCACCCCACCCCCAAACCCCGCAGCCGGAUGGGAGUCCAGGCCACUUCCCUAUCCGGAGCCGGUGGGACAAGGAGUCCUGGUGCCAAAUUUGGCCGCGGUACAGGCGCUAAUUGGUAAAGGGAUGACCCAGCGGUGGGGUUUGGAAGGCGAGGGCCCGCGCCCUGCAUCCUUGAACCCUGGUUUGGGAGGCAGUGGCUUUUCCCCGGAUUUCAGAGACACUACAGGUGAAAUUAACAGCGGGCUGGCUGUCCAGGCCUGGGUGGAGCAUGCCCUUGUUAGCUUGAAGGUUCUCCCUCGCAGCCCGUUUGGAUGCGUGCGUCUACAGCCCAGUCGCACUUGGCAAGAAAAGAGAAACACGGGAGACGAAUGUUCAAACCCAGAUCUCCUCGCUGAGCCUGGAAGCUCGCCACCGUGGGAUCACGGGAACCAGAGGCAAGAGGCUGCGAAUGAGUCCAGCACCCGCUUUCCUCGGAUUUUAAAAGCGUACCUGGGGCCAGAGACUGCACAGCCAACUAAACGGAGUAAACGCAACAGGUGGAGGAGGCAGAGUUGCCAGGGGCCAAGCCCGGCGCGAUCUGGCCAGUUCUUGGGGAGCGCGGACCUCGGACUGCAGAGAGACGUUUUGAAGAGUGCUGAGCGCACCUGCCUCUCGGAGAUACCCAACUCCGCCCGGGCGUCUCCUGAGAACGCACAGUCCACAGACCCCGGGAGGGCUGCCCGCCCUAGGACACGUCCUCUCCCGACCCCUCACUCUUUCAAAAUUGGGGAAGAGGCGGAGGAGAUGCAAAAGAAGAAAGAAAGAGAGAAGAAAAGAGAGAAGGAAAGAAAGAAAUUUUAAAAAAUAA
Long non-coding RNA from Nomascus leucogenys (northern white-cheeked gibbon), 943 nucleotides. RefSeq annotates it as coiled-coil domain-containing protein 140. The transcript has 4 exons. Lineage: Eukaryota; Metazoa; Chordata; Mammalia; Primates; Hylobatidae. The record is from RefSeq and is a predicted model, not a curated record.